CCCCAAAUUAAAUUCCCUCCAAAUAAACUAGAGUAUCCGUCUGUGUUCGGCUUCCUGAUUUAAAAAUAUAUGCACUUUAAUUACGAGGUCCAUUAAUUCAACCGUCUACACAACCAACACAACUCAUAAAAAUAUAUGCACUUUAAAGAAAACGAAAUCACUAAUUUUCUCUAAGCAAAUGCAUGAAUGACACGUGCCAUGUGA
RNAcentral lists this long non-coding RNA (204 nucleotides) under Elaeis guineensis (African oil palm). RNAcentral describes it as "long non-coding RNA (EGUI_LNC012213)". Lineage: Eukaryota; Viridiplantae; Streptophyta; Magnoliopsida; Arecales; Arecaceae. The record is from RNAcentral.